RNAcentral lists this ribosomal RNA (336 nucleotides) under uncultured Enterobacteriaceae bacterium. RNAcentral describes it as "bacterial SSU rRNA". It matches the Rfam family "Bacterial small subunit ribosomal RNA", at positions 1044 to 1382 of the family's 1533-position model. Lineage: Bacteria; Pseudomonadati; Pseudomonadota; Gammaproteobacteria; Enterobacterales; Enterobacteriaceae. The record is from RNAcentral.
CAUGGCUGUCGUCAGCUCGUGUUGUGAAAUGUUGGGUUAAGUCCGCAACGAGCGCAACCCUUAUCCUUGUUGCCAGCGGUCCGGCCGGGAACUCAAAGGAGACUGCCAGUGAUAAACUGGAGGAAGGUGGGGAUGACGUCAAGUCAUCAUGGCCCUUACGACCAGGGCUACACACGUGCUACAAUGGCGCAUACAAAGAGAAGCGACCUCGCGAGAGCAAGCGGACCUCAUAAAGUGCGUCGUAGUCCGGAUUGGAGUCUGCAACUCGACUCCAUGAAGUCGGAAUCGCUAGUAAUCGUGGAUCAGAAUGCCACGGUGAAUACGUUCCCGGGCCUU